GGGAAUGUGGCUUAGUGGUAGAGUGCUUGCCUUCCAUGCAUGAAGCCCUGGGUUUGAUGCCUCAGUUCCA
RNAcentral lists this transfer RNA (70 nucleotides) under Dipodomys ordii (Ord's kangaroo rat). It matches the Rfam family "tRNA". From Rfam's summary of the family: Transfer RNA (tRNA) molecules are approximately 80 nucleotides in length. Their secondary structure includes four short double-helical elements and three loops (D, anti-codon, and T loops). The record is from Rfam by way of RNAcentral. Lineage: Eukaryota; Metazoa; Chordata; Mammalia; Rodentia; Heteromyidae.